GAACGAACGCUGGCGGCAGGCCUAACACAUGCAAGUCGAACGUGAAGCAGGAGCUUGCUCCUGUGGAAAGUGGCAGACGGGUGAGUAACGCGUGGGAAUUUGCCCAGUGGUACGGAAUAACUCAUGGAAACGUGAGCUAAUACCGGAUACGCCCUCCGGGGGAAAGAUUUAUCGCCAUUGGAUGAGCCCGCGUCGGAUUAGCUUGUUGGUGAGGUAAAAGCUCACCAAGGCGACGAUCCGUAGCUGGUCUGAGAGGAUGAUCAGCCACACUGGGACUGAGACACGGCCCAGACUCCUACGGGAGGCAGCAGUGGGGAAUAUUGCACAAUGGGCGCAAGCCUGAUGCAGCCAUGCCGCGUGAGUGAUGAAGGCCUUAGGGUUGUAAAACUCUUUCGCCAGGGAAGAUAAUGACGGUACCUGGUAAAGAAGCCCCGGCCAACUCCGUGCCAGCAGCCGCGGUAAUACGGAGGGGGCUAGCGUUGUUCGGAAUUACUGGGCGUAAAGCGCGCGUAGGCGGGCUGGUUAGUUGGGGGUGAAAUCCCGAGGCUUAUCCUGGGAAUUGCGUUUGAAACGGGCAGGCUUGAGGCCGGGAGAGGGUAGUGGAAUUCCCAGUGUAGAGGUGAAAUUCGUAGAUAUUGGGAAGAACACCAGUGGCGAAAGGCGGCUCACUGGCUCGAUACUGACGCUGAGCGCGAAAAGCGUGGGGGAGCAAACAGAUAGAUACCUGGUAGUCCACGCCGUAAACGAUGAAUGCUAGCUGUCGGCAGGCAUGCCUGUCGGUGGCGCAGCUAACGCAUUAAGCAUUCCGCUGGGGAGUACGGUCGCAAGAUUAAAACUCAAAGGAAUUGACGGGGGCCCGCACAGCGGUGGAGCAUGUGGUUUAAUUCGAGGCAACGCGAAGAACCUUACCAGCCCUUGACAUCCCGGUCGCGGAUCGCAGAGAUGCUUUCCUUCAGUUCGGCUGGACCGGUGACAGGUGCUGCAUGGUUGUCGUCAGCUCGUGUCGUGAGAUGUUGGGUUAAGUCCCGCAACGAGCGCAACCCUCGCCUUUAGUUGCCAGCCUUAAGUUGGGCACUCUAGAGGGACUGCCGGUGAUAAGCCGGAGGAAGGUGGGGAUGACGUCAAAUCAUCAUGGCCCUUACGGGCUGGGCUACACACGUGCUACAAUGGCGGUGACAGUGAGCAGCCACUCAGCAAUGAGGAGCUAAUCUCUAAAAGCCGUCUCAGUUCGGAUUGUUCUCUGCAACUCGAGAGCAUGAAGUUGGAAUCGCUAGUAAUCGUGGAUCAGCAUGCCACGGUGAAUACGUUCCCGGGCCUUGUACACACCGCCCGUCACACCAUGGGAGUUGGCUUUACCCGAAGACGAUGAGCUAACUUCGGAGGCAAUCGGCCACGGUAGGAUCAGCGACUGGGGU
This 1415-nucleotide ribosomal RNA is filed under the name uncultured prokaryote. RNAcentral describes it as "partial 16S ribosomal RNA". It matches the Rfam family "Bacterial small subunit ribosomal RNA". The record is from RNAcentral.